UUAAGCAUAUCAAUAAGCGGAGGAAAAGAAACUAACAAGGAUUCCCCUAGUAACGGCGAGUGAAGCGGGAAGAGCUCAAAUUUGUAAUCUGGCCCUUUCAGGGUCCGAGUUGUAAUCUCGAGAAGUGUUUUCCGCGCCGGACCGCAUACAAGUCUGUUGGAAUACAGCGUCAUAGUGGUGAGAGCCCCGUAAUUGAUGUGGAUGCCCGGUGCUUUGUGAUACACUUUCGAAGAGUCGAGUUGUUUGGGAAUGCAGCUCAAAUUGGGUGGUAAAUUCCAUCUAAAGCUAAAUAUUGGCGAGAGACCGAUAGCGAACAAGUACCGUGAGGGAAAGAUGAAAAGCACUUUGGAAAGAGAGUUAACAGUACGUGAAAUUGUUGGAAGGGAAACGCUUGAAGUCAGACUUGCUAUUCGGAAUUCAGCCGCAAGGUGUACUUUUCGAUUUGCAGGCCAGCAUCAGUUUUUGGGGGUGGAAAAGGGUGGAGAGAAGGUAGCAACCUUGGUUGUGUUAUAGCUCUUUACUGGAUUCAUCUUUGGGGACUGAGGAUCGCAGUGCGCAAUUUACUUUGCAAACCUUUCGAGGUUUUCGUACU
This 592-nucleotide ribosomal RNA is filed under the name Glaciozyma watsonii. Its description in RNAcentral is "eukaryotic LSU rRNA". It matches the Rfam family "Eukaryotic large subunit ribosomal RNA", at positions 34 to 635 of the family's 3401-position model. The record is from RNAcentral. Lineage: Eukaryota; Fungi; Basidiomycota; Microbotryomycetes; Kriegeriales; Camptobasidiaceae.